UCUCUUGAGCCUAGGAGGUCAAGGUUGCAGUGAGCCGUGAUCAUGCCACUGCACUCCCACCUGGGUGACAGAGUGAAACUCGGUCUCAAAAAUAAUAAUAAUGUUUGAGAAAUCAUUCAAUUUAAGCAGGUACUAAAGAAGAAAUUAAGGGCUCUUCCUUACUGAAAGUUUUUCCCUGAGAAAUAGAAACUUGGCACCUUUGUGCAAAACUUCAAAUGACUUAUUAUUAGGUCAACAAAAUUAAAUAAUGUUGAAGCACUAAGAUUGUUAGAGAAGCUUAAAGAUAUUAUUAUCAUAUUAGUGUCUACACAAUAGUGUAUCAACUUUUAUUCAACAUUAUCACCUUGCUUUUUGAGGCAAAUAUAUUUUGUAUAAAGUAUUGAGAAUGUCUGAGGUGUUUCCUGUACCUCUCCUGGGUUCUCAGUCUUAUCUUGGUAUAUAAAACCAUUCAGGCUUUAGGGGUAUCAUUUUUUUCCAGAUACAAUUUUCCAGAUGAGCCUAUAAUAUUCUGGAAUAAACAACGAACCAUUGUUUAUAAAAUUUAGAACAACCUUGAUAAGCCUCAAGAUUCCACAGCAGGACCAUUGCAAUUCAUAUGACUGGAUGAGGCACGGUAUCAUAGAAACUUAAUUCUGUCGCUAAAAGACAUGUGGUCUUGGGCUAAGGUCUUUCACUGCCUGUCUUUUUCACAACCAUUAUGACCUCUUCUCAGCUGCAGUUUCACCCUGAGGCCUUGUGCAACUGAAGUUGUCUAACUGGGACAGUUACCUGUGCCUGGGCAAGUUGAUACACUUACCACAGGUUGCCUAAUACUGUUUUCUUUUUAGCAUUUUAACUGCUUUGGACUCUGCUUUGGAUUGCACAAGGUUCACUUCUUUUUCUUUUUGUUUAAUAGAAGCUGUUGUGUGACUAAAGAAAUAAAAGGCUAUACAAAUAAGUAUUUAUUGAACACUGUUCCUUGCCCAGCAUUAUGUUAAAUACAGAUACAAAUCAAGGAGACAAUUCUGAAUUUCCCAGUUUUCUGUUUCCAUGGAUAUGGCAGCUUAUAGAAGUCUUGUUCUAUUGCCCAGACUGAAGUAUAGUGGCACCACAUACCUCACUGUACCUGGAACUCCGUGGCCCCACCGUUCUGGAACCAUAGAAAAACAAGACAGAUGGUGCCGAACCCGGGAGGAGACCCCUCCUCAGGGC
Piliocolobus tephrosceles (Ugandan red Colobus) is the source of this 1191-nucleotide long non-coding RNA. RefSeq lists it as uncharacterized. The transcript has 3 exons. The record is from RefSeq and is a predicted model, not a curated record. Lineage: Eukaryota; Metazoa; Chordata; Mammalia; Primates; Cercopithecidae.